RNAcentral lists this ribosomal RNA (331 nucleotides) under Mytilus galloprovincialis (Mediterranean mussel). RNAcentral describes it as "partial 16S ribosomal RNA". It matches the Rfam family "Bacterial large subunit ribosomal RNA", at positions 1989 to 2566 of the family's 2925-position model. The record is from RNAcentral. Lineage: Eukaryota; Metazoa; Mollusca; Bivalvia; Mytilida; Mytilidae.
GGUAUGAAAGGGUUAACGAAGAAGGUGCUGUGUCUAAAAAUUCAAUUUAAACUAACUUUAAGGUGAAGAGGCCUUUAUGUAAAAGAAGGACGACAAGACCCUAUGAAGCUUUAUCUUAAUUGGAGCUCUCAGGCUCUUAUACGAUUUUGAUGGGAGAUCAGUAGAAAUAAGUCUUCUACUAUCAUAUUAAUCUUACUAGUAUUUCUUAACUUUAUAUGUGUGGCUAGCUACUCUAGGGAUAACAGCGCAAUUUCUCCCGAAAGAUGGUAUUGGAGGGGAAGAUUGCGACCUCGAUGUUGGCUUUAGAUAUCCUAGAGGCGUAGAAGCUUCU